This 575-nucleotide long non-coding RNA is filed under the name Numida meleagris (helmeted guineafowl). Its description in RNAcentral is "lncRNA (ENSNMEG00000020902.1)". The record is from RNAcentral. Lineage: Eukaryota; Metazoa; Chordata; Aves; Galliformes; Numididae.
AUGAAGAAACUUUUUGUACAAGGUAGUAUUCUCCAAGGCCUGAUCCAAAGCGCUCUGUACUCAGUAGGAACCAUUCCACCUCAGGGCUCACUCAGUGUUUUCCAACAUCCUCUGACUCUGAGGAGGUUUAUUUUCCAGAGAAUGAAUCAAUCCAGGAUUGUCAUUUCUAGAUGGAAAUCUGCCAAGAUGAAUCUCUCUCCCUCUUCAUACUGUUAUCGCUCUUUGUUAUCAAGUUAUUAUGGACUACAGGUAGCAAGUGUUUUUGGCCUUACAAGCAAUACACCAAAGCUGUCAAGUGACCGAGAGCUUCCAACCAGACUCUGCAUGAUUUGAGAGGCCCAGUGGAUUGUUUUGGUUCUACUUGUGAGAUAUUUUGAAAUAUUACAGCAUCCAUUACCACAGUAUUAGCACUUCACUGUCCUUAAUGCUGUUUAAUCCAUCAGUUUUAGAUCCCAAACCAAGGACUCGCUGCCAGUAGUCACCACUACCAAUGCAAUGCAGACUGUCAGAUUGCAACCUUGGCCGUAACAAGGUCACGUAAUAAAGCACGUGUCAGAGGAAAGACUGUAAUAAUA